AUGCACAUUAAAGUGCAUAAUGACACGUACAAAAGAAAGGAUGCUGAAUCCCUUUCUCUUUUUAAGCAUUCAAACUUAAAUCUUUCCCAUUUUGCCAUAAUAACAAACGUACCACAUCAUUAUUUUCUCUCUAGCUAAUUAUUUUGUUGUUUCAAUAUGCAAGGAAGCAACAACGUGACUUCCAUUUAUAUGGAAACAACGCAGUUUUGAAUUGAUAGAGCACCAAUGUGACUUGGUAUUUUACGGAAGAAAAAUGUAUUUUUUUUCUCUCAAGAACAAUAUUCGAAUUUUGCUCACUGCUUCGAUCUCGUUAUUCCGUCUUAUCGUGUUGUUGAAUUCGGGCUUUUUUCGUAGUGAAGUAAGGUGGAAGAAGAUUAUUUCUUGGAAUAUAAGACCUGCGAGCUCGAGAAGUAGACGUUGGACAUUAGAUAGAGUUCAAGGUAGACAAGGAGGUGAGCUUGAUCCAGAUUCUUAGUAGCUAUCAGCUGAUUGAGAGCACUCCAUUGUUCGGAGGUGCUUAUGAUCCUUCUUUUGGUAUAUAUGCAUAUUUUGGGCACAACGGGAGUCUUGUUCCGUCUAUAUGUUUAGUAUGUCAGUAGAGGCUCGUAGAUACGCAGUGUGGGUCAGAUGGUCUCACAAGAUGUUAUUAUUAUGUAUAUAUUAUUUUGGUGGCCGAGAGGCAAAAGUGGUAUAAGUAUUUAUGUUUCUAUAUAAAAUAUAAUUUUCCUACAAUUCGUGUAUAAAAUUGGUAAAAGAGCAUUAAAUGAGUAAGAUGAGUAUUAGAGCGAGUGGUGCUCGGUGGCUAGCCCCGGGUACCCGUCACGGUCCCUAGCUGGGUC
This is a long non-coding RNA of Lycium barbarum (goji berry), 839 nucleotides long. RefSeq lists it as uncharacterized. Lineage: Eukaryota; Viridiplantae; Streptophyta; Magnoliopsida; Solanales; Solanaceae. The transcript is spliced from 3 exons. The record is from RefSeq and is a predicted model, not a curated record.